Molecule: small RNA, 625 nt
Filed under: Pongo abelii (Sumatran orangutan)
Lineage: Eukaryota; Metazoa; Chordata; Mammalia; Primates; Hominidae
Description: retained intron
Source: RNAcentral
AAGUGUGACCCUCAUGAGGCAACGUGUUAUGAUGAUGGGAAGACGUACCACGUAGGAGAACAGUGGCAGAAGGAAUAUCUCGGUGCCAUUUGCUCCUGCACAUGCUUUGGAGGCCAGCGGGUAAGACCGCAUGUGCCAGGCUCCCUACAAGUUAGAUAAGAUAAAGGGUGGGCUCCUGCGAGGAUGUGUCGUACACACAGGAGUGGCAGAGACCCUUCUGAAGUAUUAAAAUACCACAUUUCCUGUUGGCAUACAGCUGCUGACAUAGAGCUCUAGAGUAGCUCUAUGUCUACCUUAUAUGCCAUUCAUUCUUUCUAUUACUCUUAGUAGAAAGAAUGAAUGGCAUGUAGAGUACCAAAAACACAAGUCUUGAGUCAUUCUUAAUAGCAAUACCUGUCAUUUAUACGAUGUUAGAAUCAUUUUCCUAAGCUCCCUAGCAUGUCAGAGAUACUAUUUACACUGAAAAAAAGUGAAGCAGAGAUACUAUUCAAAUUAAUUAGUGGUAAAUAGAAUGUGUUUCAUUUCAGCCAGUUCUCCCCAACCUGGGCAGCCUGAGACCCUCCCCUCCCCUACUAUUCUCAGGCUGCUUCUAUUUUUCAGCAAAGUGUUAAGUGCAGUGUAGCUC